UAAACUGCUCCCUGUAAGUCGCUUUGGAUAAAAGCGUCAGCUAAAUGACUAAAU
This is a non-coding RNA of Larimichthys crocea (large yellow croaker), 54 nucleotides long. The record is from Rfam. Lineage: Eukaryota; Metazoa; Chordata; Actinopteri; Sciaenidae.